CCAAUAGCGUAUAUUAAAGUUGUUGCAGUUAAAAAGCUCGUAGUUGAAUUUCGAGACCGGUCUACUGGUCGUGCUUUUGUACGUACUGGUUUUAUCGGUUUCUCCUUUCUGACGAACUAUAAUGCCAUUAAUUUGGUGUUAUAGGGAAUCAGGACUGUUACUUUGAAAAAAUUAGAGUGUUUAAAGCAGGCUCACGCUUGAAUACAUUAGCAUGGAAUAACGGAAUAGGACGUUUGAUUCUAUUUUGUUGGUUUCUAGGAUCGACGUAAUGAUUAAUAGGGAUAGUGGGGGGCAUUAGUAUUCAAUUGUCAGAGGUGAAAUUCUUUGAUUUAUUGAAGACUAACUACUGCGAAAGCAUUUGCCAAGGAUGUUUUCAUUAAUCAAGAACGAAAGUUAGGGGAUCGAAGACGAUCAGAUACCGUCGUAGUCUUAACCAUAAACUAUGCCGACUAGGGAUCGGAUGAUGUUAAUUUUUUAAUGACUCAUUCGGCGCCUUACG
RNAcentral lists this ribosomal RNA (499 nucleotides) under uncultured Glomeromycotina. Its description in RNAcentral is "partial small subunit ribosomal RNA". It matches the Rfam family "Eukaryotic small subunit ribosomal RNA", at positions 591 to 1092 of the family's 1831-position model. Lineage: Eukaryota; Fungi; Glomeromycota. The record is from RNAcentral.